Molecule: ribosomal RNA, 228 nt
Filed under: uncultured bacterium
Lineage: Bacteria
Description: partial 16S ribosomal RNA
Rfam family: Bacterial small subunit ribosomal RNA
Source: RNAcentral
UACGUAGGGUGCAGGCGUUAAUCGGAAUUACUGGGCGUAAAGCGUGCGCAGGCGGUUUGCUAAGAGAGAUGUGAAAUCCCCGGGCUUAACCUGGGAACUGCGUUUCUAACUGGCAGGCUUGAGUGUGGCAGAGGGGGGUGGAAUUCCACGUGUAGCAGUGAAAUGCGUAGAGAUGUGGAGGAACACCGAUGGGCGAAGGCAGCCCCCUGGGCUAACACUGACGCCUCA